Molecule: ribosomal RNA, 256 nt
Filed under: uncultured bacterium
Lineage: Bacteria
Description: partial 16S ribosomal RNA
Rfam family: Bacterial small subunit ribosomal RNA
Source: RNAcentral
UCAAACUGGAGAUGGCGACCGGCGCACGGGUGAGUAACACGUAUCCAACCUGCCGAUAACUCGGGGAUAGCCUUUCGAAAGAAAGAUUAAUACCCGAUGGUAUAAUAAAACCGCAUGGUUUAAUUAUUAAAGAAUUUCGGUUAUCGAUGGGGAUGCGUUCCAUUAGGCAGUUGGUGAGGUAACGGCUCACCAAACCUUCGAUGGAUAGGGGUUCUGAGAGGAAGGUCCCCCACAUUGGAACUGAGACACGGUCCAA